Molecule: ribosomal RNA, 231 nt
Filed under: uncultured bacterium
Lineage: Bacteria
Description: partial 16S ribosomal RNA
Rfam family: Bacterial small subunit ribosomal RNA
Source: RNAcentral
UACGUAGGGGCUAGCGUUGUUCGGAUUUACUGGGCGUAAAGCGCACGUAGGCGGAUUGGUCAGUUAGGGGUGAAAUCCUGGAGCUCAACUCCAGAACUGCCUUUAAUACUGCCAGUCUCGAGUCCGGAAGAGGUAAGUGGAACUCCUAGUGUAGAGGUGGAAUUCGUAGAUAUCUGGAGGAACACCGGUGGCGAAGGCGGCGUUCUGGACUGUCUCUGACACUGAAGAACG